AUGGUAGCUCAGUUGGUAGAGCGUGAGACUUGGAAUCUGGACCGCAAGGUUCGAAUCCCACUCUCG
This 66-nucleotide transfer RNA is filed under the name Proboscia alata. Lineage: Eukaryota; Bacillariophyta; Melosirophyceae; Probosciales; Probosciaceae. The record is from RNAcentral.